This 73-nucleotide transfer RNA is filed under the name Candidatus Giovannonibacteria bacterium RIFCSPHIGHO2_01_FULL_43_100. RNAcentral's name for it is "tRNA-Met". It matches the Rfam family "tRNA". Rfam says of the family: Transfer RNA (tRNA) molecules are approximately 80 nucleotides in length. Lineage: Bacteria; Candidatus Giovannoniibacteriota. RNAcentral also lists the same sequence under 5 other names. The record is from RNAcentral.
GGCUGGGUAGCUCAGUUGGCAGAGCAGAGGACUCAUAAGCCUCAGGUCGUGGGUUCAAUCCCCACCCCAGCCA